CCUACGGGCGGCAGCAGUGGGGAAUAUUGGACAAUGGGGGCAACCCUGAUCCAGCCAUGCCGCGUGUGUGAAGAAGGCCCUCGGGUUGUAAAGCACUUUCAGUGAGGAAGAACGCCUGGUGGUUAAUACCCAUCAGGAAAGACAUCACUCACAGAAGAAGCACCGGCUAACUCCGUGCCAGCAGCCGCGGUAAUACGGAGGGUGCGAGCGUUAAUCGGAAUUACUGGGCGUAAAGCGCGCGUAGGUGGCUUGAUAAGCCGGUUGUGAAAGCCCCGGGCUCAACCUGGGAACGGCAUCCGGAACUGUCAAGCUAGAGUGCAGGAGAGGAAGGUAGAAUUCCCGGUGUAGCGGUGAAAUGCGUAGAGAUCGGGAGGAAUACCAGUGGCGAAGGCGGCCUUCUGGACUGACACUGACACUGAGGUGCGAAAGCGUGGGUAGCGAACAGGAUUAGAUACCCCGGUAGUC
This 465-nucleotide ribosomal RNA is filed under the name Vreelandella stevensii. RNAcentral's name for it is "partial 16S ribosomal RNA". It matches the Rfam family "Bacterial small subunit ribosomal RNA", at positions 338 to 795 of the family's 1533-position model. The record is from RNAcentral. Lineage: Bacteria; Pseudomonadati; Pseudomonadota; Gammaproteobacteria; Oceanospirillales; Halomonadaceae.